UGCCUUAUGUAAUUGGGCAUAAGGGUUGGAGAUUGUUGUCAACUGUUUCUCGAUGAUUUCAAUCAAUCCAAUA
This is a small RNA of Desulfitobacterium hafniense Y51, 73 nucleotides long. It matches the Rfam family "RT-6 RNA". From Rfam's summary of the family: Firmicutes. Nearby to self-splicing intron genes The record is from Rfam. NCBI's taxonomy places the organism in Bacteria, Bacillati, Bacillota, Clostridia, Eubacteriales, Desulfitobacteriaceae.